AUUGGUGUUCAGGAAGAGGAGGCUGGGCUCUUCUCGGGGAGUGGAGUGCUAUGACAGAUGAGACUUUCAUGCAAGAAAAUAAAUCCUGCACAUUUGAUGUACUGCUUUAAACUUAAAGACCUCUUUGGACCCGAAAUUGUAAGGAUUCUAUAAACCUGGAGAGUAAUCCUAAGAAAAAUCAUCAGAAGAAAGGAAUUUGUAGAACUAAAACUGCAAACAUCCAGAAUCUUGAUGGUGUGCCAAGCCAAAUGUCAACUGGAACUCAACCAAAAACUAAAGUGCUCUCUGAUAACAGACCCAAAGAAAGAGUGGCAUGUCCCUGAAAUGGAGCGAAGGAUACACCAAAGGAAGAGUUGCUACAUCCCAUCUCUCCUGGGAAAGGAACAUGCUGCAGGGAGAGAGUUGCGAGAGCUCUUCACCCUUCUACCCUGCAGCAAAGGAAAAUGGGUCUCCUCAAGGAAGGCAUUUCCCCACAGCAAAGCUGCAAGCAACAUGAAAUAAUGCACCAUGACUAUGGGUUCUUGGCAAAGGAUUCCUGGCCUGGUACAGUUAGAAAUUGGGCUCUAUUCUCAAGCAAAGGGUUCCAACAAAAAAAUACCGCAGCAAGCAGACCGUGGAAUGUGCUUCUCCACUCUUCCAUACGGGGUGAUGGCACAGAAUCAGAGUUGAACAUGGGAGGGAAGUGGAAGGGAUAAAAAUGUAAUGGAAUUGCAGAGUUGUUGGCAUUCAGAUGUGUAGGUGGUGGGUGGCAAGUCCUGCUUAUUGCCUGUGGUUGUGAGAGGCAAUGGUGAUGGGUCUUAUUACAUAGCAGUAAGAGAAGGAGAAAAAAAUAUAUAUCUUUUCAUUUGUCAAAGUUAUUUAUCGCAGGAUUAUUUGUAAUUUUAGAAAUUUGGAGAAAAAUAUUCAAAAUUGUGAAAGCUUUAAAAUAAAUUAUAGUGUGUUUAUCCCACAGAAUUUUAGAUAUUCAUUAAAAACUACAUUUUAAAAGAAAAUACAUUGGAAAAAUGCUCACAAUCUACUGCUUAGUGAAAAAAAAUGAAAAACUUGGUAUAAAAAUUCUUCCAAGUUUUUUUAAUAUGCAAGGAAAAAAAUAAAAAGGAAAAUUUUCAAAUGUUA
Molecule: long non-coding RNA, 1116 nt
Filed under: Homo sapiens (human)
Lineage: Eukaryota; Metazoa; Chordata; Mammalia; Primates; Hominidae
Description: novel transcript
Source: RNAcentral